Molecule: long non-coding RNA, 1685 nt
Filed under: Felis catus (domestic cat)
Lineage: Eukaryota; Metazoa; Chordata; Mammalia; Carnivora; Felidae
Description: lncRNA (ENSFCAG00000050389.1)
Source: RNAcentral
GCGCCAGCCCGCCGCCCCGGGUGGGGGCUGGGCCCACUCCCGGCUCUGCUCCCCACCCCCACCGGAAACAUUCCUGAAACAUUCCUGAAAGUAGGAGGCCCGGCCCCUCCGGUUCCCCACCCCGCCUCCACUCCGGGCUCAGGGUUUUCCUGGCGUCCCCCCUCCAUCGGCGGCUCGCCCCCUGAGGAGGGGGCUGGGCCGGGGCCUCGGCCGGCCGGGGAGGAAGAAGGGGAGCAAAGAAAAACAUGAGUCACAGCCGUGUGUCACUGGGCCGCAUUGCAUUUCCCUGCAUCACGGGAGGUGUGGAAGGCCGCCUCAGGGACGAGGGGCGGGGAGGUGCGCCCGAGAAGGCCCCGGGCCCGGCCUGCAGGGCGCGCCGCUCUGACAGCGCCCUUUCUUCUCCCACCGCCCUCCCCGCCAUCUUUUCACUUUGGCUUCCUUCUUCUACGUGCAACAAGUCUUUGUUGCGCCUGGCGCCGGGCGGGCCAAGCGUGGCGGGUAUGGCUUGCGUAGACCCAGUCCCUGCCCUCAAAGUGCUUCCAGGCGACCACUGAAUCACGCUUUCUUAUUUUUCUUAAAAGUCACGGCGGAGAGGACCAGGUCACAAAGUGGAAACGCACGUCUCCAAAACAUCAUCCGAGUCACCUAAAGGAAUGAAGCCUCCCUCAGGUUUACCUGCAAGCGAGCCAAUCGUUUGUUUCCUUUGGAGGCUGCACCUUGAUUACGGCUCACUCGCGGCCAUUAAUAAACGAAAAGUCUGGAUUUCACAAGUUUCACGUUUGAAUUUCACAAGACUUGAAUUUCACCAGUCAGCCACACGCACGUUGGCACUAAAAUGCACAUGCUGACACCUGUCCGCCCAGGGGAAAUCUACGAGCCGUGUAUCUGGGCGCAGGGGGCGGCGGGUAGGCCGCGGAAUUCUCUCACAGGCGCGUUUCUCUCCACCCCCUCCCGCCCGCGCGGACCCCGCAGGCAUGAACGCCCGCCCACAUCCAACGCGCCCCGCGGGCGUCAGGCCCCACACGCCCGGAAGGCCCCUAGAGGUGACUCUCCCGGGGACCCCCUUGCUGGAUGUAAAGAUGCCCUCCUCCCCCUCCCCCGCGAAAAGCUCCCUGGUGAUCCCUCUGUGCACCUUCCCGUGUCUCCCGGCCCGGGACAGUGGGGAGUGGGCCGUCGCCUCAGAUUCCCAGCCCAGGCCUCCCGCGCGCCCGCCCCCAGGCACCCGGCACCGCACGCCCCUCCCCGUAGUCAGCACCCACCCGCGCGGCGGCGGCUGGCGGGCGGCCGCCCUUUUAAAUCCCCGGGCUCAUUUGCAUGGCCCCGCCCCCCACAGUGACACGGCUGGCGCGGGCGGGCCCGUCCCCCCUGCCCCUGGGUCGCUCUUUUUAAGCUCCCCUGAGCCGGGGCUGCGCUCCUCUAAUUGGGACUCCGAGCCCGGGCUAUUUCUGGCGCUGGCGCGGCUCCAAGAAGGCAUCCGCAUUUGCUACCAGCGGCGGCGGCGGCGGCGGAGCCAGGCCGGUCUUCAGCGCCCAGCACCGUCGCUCCCGGCAGCCCGGAGCGCGCACCGCAGGCCGGCGGCCGAGCUCGCGGUGAGUCGUCCCCGGGGCCCGCGGCGGCGGCGGCGGAGGGGGGCGCCCGCGCCCCCGCCUGCACGCCGCCCCUCCUGCAAGCCGCCCAGGGCUGCA